RNAcentral lists this ribosomal RNA (405 nucleotides) under uncultured bacterium. RNAcentral's name for it is "bacterial SSU rRNA". It matches the Rfam family "Bacterial small subunit ribosomal RNA", at positions 29 to 422 of the family's 1533-position model. The record is from RNAcentral.
AACGAACGCUGGCGGCGCGCCUAAUACAUGCAAGUCGAGCGAGAAGGUGUAGCAAUACACUUGUAAAGCGGCGAACGGGUGAGGAAUACAUGGGUGACCUACCAUUGAGUGGGGAAUAACCAGCCGAAAGGCUGGCUAAUACCGCGUACGCUUCCGGAUUUUCGAGUUCGGAAGGAAAGCGAUACCGUGGGUAUCGCGCUCUUUGAUGGGCUCAUGUCCUAUCAGCUUGNGGUAGGGUAACGGCCUACCAAGGCUUUGACGGGUAGCUGGUCUGAGAGGACGAUCAGCCACACUGGCACUGCGACACGGGCCAGACUCCUACGGGAGGCAGCAGUAAGGAAUAUUGCGCAAUGGGCGAAAGCCUGAACGCAGCGACGCCGCGUGGGGGAGUGAAGGUCGUUCGGA